RNAcentral lists this ribosomal RNA (255 nucleotides) under uncultured bacterium. RNAcentral describes it as "partial small subunit ribosomal RNA". It matches the Rfam family "Bacterial small subunit ribosomal RNA", at positions 26 to 285 of the family's 1533-position model. The record is from RNAcentral.
AGGACGAACGCUGGCGGCGUGCUUAACACAUGCAAGUCGAACGGUGAAGCCUUUCGGGGUGGAUCAGUGGCGAACGGGUGAGUAACACGUGAGUAAUCUGCCCUUGACUCUGGGAUAACUUCGGGAAACCGUGGCUAAUACCGGAUAUGACGCAUGGUCGCAUGGUCUGUGUGUGGAAAGAUUUAUUGGUCAGGGAUGAGCUCACGGCCUAUCAGCUUGUUGGUGGGUAAUGGCCUACCAAGGCGACGACGGGUA